AAUAUUGCGCAAUGGGGGAAACCCUGACGCGGCAACGCCGCGUGAGCGAAGAAGGCCUUCGGGUCGUAAAGCUCUGUCUAGCGGGAUGAAUAAUGACAGUACCUCUGGAGGAAGCCCCGGCUAACUACGUGCCAGCAGCCUCGGUAAUACGUAGGGGGCAAGCGUUGUCCGGAAUUACUGGGCGUAAAGGGCGCGUAGGCGGUCUAAUAAGUCAGAUGUGAAAGUCCAGGGCUCAACCCUGGAAUUGCAUUUGAAACCGUAAGACUUGAGUGCAGGAGAGGAGAGCGGAAUUCCUAGUGUAGCGGUGAAAUGCGUAGAUAUUAGGAGGAACACCAGUGGCGAAGGCGACUCUCUGGUCUAUAACCGACGCUGAGGCGCGAAAGCGUGGGGAGCAAAC
RNAcentral lists this ribosomal RNA (397 nucleotides) under uncultured bacterium. RNAcentral describes it as "partial 16S ribosomal RNA". It matches the Rfam family "Bacterial small subunit ribosomal RNA", at positions 360 to 773 of the family's 1533-position model. The record is from RNAcentral.